AUUGAACGCUGGCGGCAGGCCUAACACAUGCAAGUCGAGCGGAUGAAGGGAGCUUGCUCCUGGAUUCAGCGGCGGACGGGUGGGUAAUGCAUAGGAAUCUGCCUGGUCGUGGGGGAUAACGUCCGGAAACGGGCGCUAAUACCGCAUACGUCCUGAGGGAGAAAGGGGGGGAUCUUCGGACCUCGCGCUAUCAGAUGAGCCUAGGCCGGAUUAGCUAGUUGGUGGGGUAACGGCCUACCAAGGCGACGAUCCGUAACUGGCCUGAGAGGAUGAUCAGCCACACUGGAACUGAGACACGGUCCAGACUCCUACGGGAGGCAGCAGUGGGGAAUCUUGCACAAUGGGCGAAAGCCUGACCCAGCCAUGCCGCGUGUGUGAAGAAGGUCUUCGGAUUGUAAAGCACUUUUAUUUGGGAGGAAGGGCAGUAAGUUAAUCCCUGGCCGUCUUGACGUUACCAACAGAAUAAGCACCGGCUAACUUCGUG
This 484-nucleotide ribosomal RNA is filed under the name uncultured bacterium. Its description in RNAcentral is "partial 16S ribosomal RNA". It matches the Rfam family "Bacterial small subunit ribosomal RNA", at positions 30 to 507 of the family's 1533-position model. The record is from RNAcentral.